Molecule: long non-coding RNA, 1504 nt
Filed under: Oreochromis niloticus (Nile tilapia)
Lineage: Eukaryota; Metazoa; Chordata; Actinopteri; Cichliformes; Cichlidae
Description: lncRNA (ENSONIG00000037514.1)
Source: RNAcentral
AUGCGGCCCGGUGAGAGCUUAGAGGGCUCGAGCUCGGCUCACGGAAGAUGUAUUGAUGCUAAUAAUAUUACUAAUAGCGGCACGGAACGCUGUCUCGCGCACCUCUCGUCGGCUACGAGGAGGAUGAAGAGGGUGACGACGAAGAGGAGGAUGAGGGGGACGAACGAGAGGAUGAGGGACGGAGGAAUGACGGCGAUGCGCUGUUUUCUGUGGAGUCUCGUUCUCUGCUCGCUCUCAUCGCGCGCCCAAGCUGGGAACACGUUUUAUUCCCUGCAACACAAAUUGCCACCCAAAUGUUGUGGGGUUUUUUUUUUUUUUAAUUGCUGGAGCCAAAUCUGUUCUUGUAUUUCAGAUCUCUGCCUGGUAUGCUUUUAAAAAUGUCAGAUUGCACAUAUUGAGCUGUCUCUGCUAUCAACAGGCUUGUUAAAUUGAAAGAAGUGAUAAUUUUGCCAUGCAAAUUGGAAUAAAAAGGGAGACUGCACUCUGGUUAGCUCUUCCAGCUGUUUUAGGGUCUUGUGGCUCCUUAACAGCUUUAUAUAUACAAUUCCCGUUUUCCUCCAAGGUCCGUUAUGAAUACUCAUUGACAGAAUGGUGACACAAGUGUAACAAGUUCAAUCAUAAAUCACUGUAAUUAAACUGAAAGGUAUGGCAGCUUCCUGUAGAAGUGAUCAGUGAAUAUAAUGUUAACAAACCAUCAGAAGAAAUAGUCUAGGAAGUGAUGUUUUUAAUUUACCUGAGAGUUUUACUUUUUUUCAAAUUAGAAAAAAAAUGCGAUUAAAGGGCAAUCAAAUUGGAGAAAUCUCUGCUUCUCUAAUAAUUAACGGAGGAGGUUCAGAAGAUAUGAGAUUUCCACACAAACCUGGCACAGACACACACACUGCAGCCUCUUCAUUAUUUCAAAGAUGACUCGAAGUAGACAUGACAUGAACAUGUUGAGUAGGCUAGAGCAGGCACGCAUACACACAUACACAGGAACUUAUAAAUACACAAAAAAAUAUUGGGCACACCGAGAUAGCAUGUGUUACCCUAAGGGUGUGAGUGCAAACACACAAGCGUGCACGCACAGGGACGCGCAGGCAUAGGAGGUAGACGCAUGCACACACACACACACACACACACACACUCUGAUGCGUUACGAGAAAGGCAGAUGAGAAAUUAACAAAGACAGACAGUCUCAGAUCCAGCUGGUGCUCCUUCUCGGUGUGUGUGUGUGUGUCUGUGUGAUCUGCUUUAAUCUAUGUAAAGAAACAUGCAAUAUUGGUAUGGUAAAAGGACAUAUUUCGUUAAAGAUGGAUGCUUGAAGGAACAUGGGAAAUGGCAUUGGAGAAGGAUAGACGUGUGGAUGCAUAAACAGCAAAGUCGGUCAAAGGUUCAGUCCUUGGUGACAGCCAGAGUGUGUCCCUCUCAGACAGUCCUUGAGGAGGAUACUGAUUCCCUUAAUGACUGUUCUCUCUGUGGAAAGUACAUACAAUAGCUGACAUGAAAUUUCAACAAGAAAAAAUAG